AGAGACAGGAUUCUCCAUGAGGUCCUGAACUCUUGGGCUCAAGCAAUCCACCUGCCUCAGCUUCCCAAAGUGCUGAAAUUACAGGUUCCAACACCACAAGCAUACGCUUAUUAAGGAGCCUUUAUUAGACAGCGUAUUCUCACCUAACAGGCCAGAUCAUGGCAAAAAGCAAGACAAGCAACCCCAGACAAAGAAUAUUGCCAAUGCCAGUGCUGACUCAAAGAACACGCAACAGAUGAAUGGUUUCGUGACUGGUGCAGCUACUUCCUUCAUCCCCAAGGACAGAACGGCCUCUUCCCUGUGUGGCUGCACUGGAAGGAGAAGACAAUCUGUUGCUAAAUACCUCAGAAUAAGGCCACACAUUAAUGUUCCCUCUUUCACAUACUACAAAUAAUUCAGAGACUUUUCCUAUUUUCUUGUUUCAGAUACAACUAGAGACAAACAAAAACACAGAGGAAAUGCUGCUGGAUACUAUUAAAGUGAGCAUCGUAAACAUUAUUUCAAGAGGUUUCCGAAAAGGAUCUCUAAAAUUAUCAGAGAAUUCACAAUUCAAGAGUACCUAACGAAGAAGAAGGGAAAUUAAUCCUUCAUAUGGCUCAAGUGAAGACCAGUGGAAUUCACCUUUGCAUUUGGAAGUAGUAUUUCUCCGGUCUUGCUGAAUUAAAAUAAAAAGGAUGAAUGUUUCUUUUAGAGCCAGUUCCUGACAAUGGUUUUUCAAAUGAUGUAUCUUAUUCUAUAUACGAA
RNAcentral lists this long non-coding RNA (744 nucleotides) under Homo sapiens (human). RNAcentral describes it as "PREDICTED lncRNA (TCONS_00087736)". Lineage: Eukaryota; Metazoa; Chordata; Mammalia; Primates; Hominidae. The record is from RNAcentral.